AUGCCGAGCCACUGGGCUCAUGAAACGUAUGUUUACCAUAAUCCCCUCUGGCGCCUUUCGAAAAACAUCAAUGCAGUUGGAGAAUUCAAUAGGAGAUGUUUCUUGGCUUCUGCGUGUUUCAGCUUCCGCGGAUGAUCGCGACGAUGAAUAUUUAGGUCUGCCUCCUAUUGCUGCAAAUGAACCAAUUCUUUGUCUUAUAUGGGAA
Molecule: unclassified non-coding RNA, 205 nt
Filed under: Hevea brasiliensis (rubber tree)
Lineage: Eukaryota; Viridiplantae; Streptophyta; Magnoliopsida; Malpighiales; Euphorbiaceae
Source: RNAcentral